RNAcentral lists this ribosomal RNA (468 nucleotides) under uncultured bacterium. Its description in RNAcentral is "partial 16S ribosomal RNA". It matches the Rfam family "Bacterial small subunit ribosomal RNA", at positions 28 to 507 of the family's 1533-position model. The record is from RNAcentral.
GAUGAACGCUGGCGGCGUGCUUAACACAUGCAAGUCGAACGGAAAGGCCCAAGCUUGCUUGGGUACUCGAGUGGCGAACGGGUGAGUAACACGUGGGUGAUCUGCCCUGCACUUCGGGAUAAGCCUGGGAAACUGGGUCUAAUACCGGAUAGGACGAUGGUUUGGAUGCCAUUGUGGAAAGUUUUUUCGGUGUGGGAUGAGCUCGCGGCCUAUCAGCUUGUUGGUGGGGUAAUGGCCUACCAAGGCGUCGACGGGUAGCCGGCCUGAGAGGGUGUACGGCCACAUUGGGACUGAGAUACGGCCCAGACUCCUACGGGAGGCAGCAGUGGGGAAUAUUGCACAAUGGGCGCAAGCCUGAGGCAGCGACGCCGCGUGGGGGAUGACGGCCUUCGGGUUGUAAACUCCUUUCGCUAGGGACGAAGCGUUUUUGUGACGGUACCUGGAGAAGAAGCACCGGCUAACUACGUG